GACGAACGCUGGCGGCGUGCUUAACACAUGCAAGUCGAACGGGAUGAUUUAGAAGCUUGCUUUCAGAGAAUCUAGUGGCAAACGGGUGAGUAACACGUAGACAACCUGCCGACAGGAUGGGGACAACAUUCCGAAAGGAAUGCUAAUACCGAAUGAAGUCAGAGAAGGGCAUCCUUUUCUGAUGAAAGAUGGCCUCUGAAUAUGCUAUCACCUGUCGAUGGGUCUGCGUCUGAUUAGCUGGUUGGUGAGGUAACGGCUCACUAAGGCGACGAUCAGUAGCCGGUCUGAGAGGAUGAACGGCCACAUUGGGACUGAGACACGGCCCAGACUCCUACGGGAGGCAGCAGUGGGGAAUCUUCCGCAAUGGGCGCAAGCCUGACGGAGCAACGCCGCGUGAGUGAAGAAGGUCUUCGGAUCGUAAAGCUCUGUUGAUGGGGACGAAUGUACGGAGUGCGAAUAGUGCUCUGUAAUGACG
RNAcentral lists this ribosomal RNA (475 nucleotides) under Centipeda sp. oral taxon D51. Its description in RNAcentral is "bacterial SSU rRNA". It matches the Rfam family "Bacterial small subunit ribosomal RNA", at positions 28 to 474 of the family's 1533-position model. Lineage: Bacteria; Bacillati; Bacillota; Negativicutes; Selenomonadales; Selenomonadaceae. The record is from RNAcentral.